Molecule: ribosomal RNA, 393 nt
Filed under: uncultured bacterium
Lineage: Bacteria
Description: partial 16S ribosomal RNA
Rfam family: Bacterial small subunit ribosomal RNA
Source: RNAcentral
AUACGGAGGAUGCAAGCGUUAUCCGGAUUUAUUGGGUUUAAAGGGUGCGUAGGCGGAGGAGUAAGUCAGGGGUGAAAUGCCGCAGCUCAACUGCGGAACUGCCUUUGAUACUGCCUUUCUGGAGUUCGGAUGCCGUGGGAGGAAUGGGCAGUGUAGCGGUGAAAUGCAUAGAUAUUGCCCAGAACACCGAUUGCGAAGGCAUCUCACGAAUCCGAGACUGACGCUGAGGCACGAAAGCGUGGGGAUCAAACAGGAUUAGAUACCCUGGUAGUCCACGCAGUAAACGAUGAUAACUAACCGUCGGCGAUAGAAUGUCGGUGGCCAAGCGAAAGCGAUAAGUUAUCCACCUGGGGAGUACGUUCGCAAGAAUGAAACUCAAAGGAAUUGACGGGG